ACGCGAGCUGGGUUUAGAACGUCGUGAGACAGUUCGGUCCCUAUCUGCCGUGGGCGCUGGAGAAUUGAGGGGGGCUGCUCCUAGUACGAGAGGACCGGAGUGGACGCAUCACUGGUGUUCGGGUUGUCAUGCCAAUGGCACUGCCCGGUAGCUAAAUGCGGAAGAGAUAAGUGCUGAAAGCAUCUAAGCACGAAACUUGCCCCGAGAUGAGUUCUCCCUGAGACUUUAAGUCUCCUGAAGGAACGUUGAAGACGACGACGUUGAUAGGCCGGGUGUGUAAGCGCAGCGAUGCGUUGAGCUAACCGGUACUAAUGAACCGUGAGGCUUAACCUUAC
This 335-nucleotide ribosomal RNA is filed under the name Klebsiella pneumoniae subsp. pneumoniae KPNIH2. RNAcentral's name for it is "bacterial LSU rRNA". It matches the Rfam family "Bacterial large subunit ribosomal RNA", at positions 2598 to 2925 of the family's 2925-position model. Lineage: Bacteria; Pseudomonadati; Pseudomonadota; Gammaproteobacteria; Enterobacterales; Enterobacteriaceae. The record is from RNAcentral.